Molecule: ribosomal RNA, 334 nt
Filed under: uncultured bacterium
Lineage: Bacteria
Description: bacterial SSU rRNA
Rfam family: Bacterial small subunit ribosomal RNA
Source: RNAcentral
AACGAACGUAGCGGCGCGCCUAACACAUGCAAGUCGAACGAGAAGGGGAUUCGUCCCCUGGUAAAGUGGCGCACGGGUGAGUAACACGUAGGUAAUCUGCCCUUUGAGUGGUGGAUAACCCUCCGAAAGAGGGCUAAUACAGCAUGAGACCACGGCUUCGAAAGAAGCUGGGGCAAAAGCGGGCCUCUUCAUGAAAGCCCGCGCUCGAAGAUGAGCCUGCGGCCCAUCAGCAGUUGGCGAGGUAAUGGCUCACCAAGGCUAAGACGGGUAGCUGGUCUGAGAGGAUGAACAGCCACACUGGAACUGAGACACGGUCCAGACUCCUACGGGAGGC